Molecule: long non-coding RNA, 2442 nt
Organism: Oreochromis aureus
Lineage: Eukaryota; Metazoa; Chordata; Actinopteri; Cichliformes; Cichlidae
Source: Ensembl
AACACACCUGAAUCACAUGAUUAACUCAUUGGAGAACUUCAAGACAUGUUGAGAAGGUCAGGAAUAGUUUAAACUAAGAUUGAGAAAUUAAAUUGGGUGAAAGGGGGUGUAGCUUCAGGGCAGUUCACAGCCUGGCGUAAACGCAAGGUGCCGUCACACAGCUUAAGUUAUUUGUUUGAUUUAUUUUAUGACAAAAUAAUAAGGAAACAUUGAAAACAUACAACCCGUUGAGGAGACAGAUAGGGUUGGGGAAUUGAAAGGGUUGGUUUGUUUAGCAUAAUGCACUACAAAGUAUACAAAGACACAUUGCAUAACUGUGCUAGUUUAGAGUUGAUGUUCUAUCCAAGAGGGUUUUAAGCUUCACUGGUGAGAGUGUCCAGGUGAUACAUGUUGAGGGAAGAUGAGAACAUAGCAGGUUAAUUGCAUGCACGCUUACAAACACACAUGAUUUAUAUAUAGGCCAGGCCGAAGGCCUGGACUUUAUGUAGCUUUUAACUUUACAGCUCCUAAUUUGCAGGAAUGGCGGGGAGUGUAAUGAAUGAAUGCAAAACAUGCUUACAGACACAAACAUGACAGGGGUUUAUUUUACAGGGUAAAGGUGGACCACAGGUUGCUUUGUUUCUGCUUAGCAACUACUGAGGUAAAUGGUGUUAAAGAUAAAUAUGCAAUAAGUGAACAGGAAAUGUGUAAGGGUGAGCCGGGUGAAACAAAAUGUUGUAGAUAAUGGAAACUUGUCUAACGGGCAUUAACAGUAACCUUUGCAUGUUAUGUAUAUGCUUGAGGCCAAAAGAGGCGUAAAUCCAGAUAGAAAAUUUUGAAGUGUGCUUUUUAGCGGAGAGUCAGGCUGACAUGGGGAUGGUGUGUAUUUUACUUGGGUUGUGUUUAAUAAAACUAAAAGCGUUGCUCACACACAUAAAGAGUAUUGAGAUUGAAUAAAGUUAAUAUAAUGGAUAGAGCCCAGAACAUGAUAAUACAUGAGUGAAAUCAAAUGCAAUGUAUGAUUUCACUUUUAUUGGGAAAUAAUCAGGCUAGAAAUGUGAGUAACCUAUGUUUAAACUGUGAAAACACUCUCCACAUACAUUGAAACUGCGCAACUCUGAGUGGGCAAUGUAAUGAAGUAAUUGUUACAUAUUUGUAUUAAACUAGCCAACAUAGACUCACCACAAAAUGAUGUAGGAUGUUGCCCUGCAGCGGGGGCAGAAAAUCAUUUGCAAACCAGGGAUCUUAUGUUGAUUAUCAUAUCCUUACUUAUGUACACACACACACACACACAGAAGGGAAAAAUUUCAAAACAAAACAAAAAAAAAACAACUUCCCUUAUCCUGUCAAGCACAGGAGAAAUAAAAAUCUCUUUGGGCUCUGUUAAAAUUUCUUUAGUAAAAGUGUAAAAGGCCAAACCUAGGAAGUUUGGCAAACAGGAAAGUUCCUUGAGUAUCAGGAGUUAAUAGUCAGGAAACAUUUCUCACAUUAACGCCUUAUAUCUGACAAACCACUGACUCAUAGAUGCAGAUAGACACACAAGUGCACAUACAUCCAGAUGUGCAUUUAGACAUUAAAAGUGUAGAGACAUGUACACACAGAUUGGCAAACCGGUACAGAGUCUAGCUGAAGAGCUUAACAAAGCAGACGUGGCAGUAGGGUUUGUGAUUUUGCCUGAUAUGAUAUUGGGAACCAACUUUGAAUAAUGACAGGAACCUGAGAUGAACACAGUAAGUUAGUAAGGUAUAGCAGAGAGAGGCUGUUUGUUUUCUAUCCCUUACAGGAGAAGAUUUCCACUAGAGAGGGACCCAGAAAAGGAGCAGAGACCACUUAAGCAUGAAGUGUUUUCAAGUGGGAGCUGGUGUUUUAUUGCUGGACCACCUAGAGGACAUGAGGUUGUUGUCGGAUUUGCUGAGUCAGGGGGCGGCUAGAGAGGGUCAGAGCGAAGGUAGUGGACCUGGGAAUGGUGUAGUGACGUCUUUGGAAGACGUCAAGAGAGGGAAUUGUGGAAUUACAGGGAUUAUUUUACAUAACCAUCAUCUUAUCAUUGCAGUAAUUAUCAUUUCAUCAAAGUGUUUAUUGAAGCUGCUGGCAUUAUGUUAUAAUUUAUAUUAUAGGGGUUAUCAUAAUCAAAUAUUAACAUGUUUAUUACAGGUGCAGUUAUAACUACUUUAAAAUGAUUGAGUUAAAUAUAUAUGUAUCAUAACUCAUAUGCUGAGUAUAUUGUUACAGUAAAAUAGUAGCUGAGCAAAGGCCUGAAUGUAUUCAGCUUCUUGUGGUAUUUGAGUUUGCUUAGUUACAGGUGACGUAAGGAUGUCCAGCCCAUGGUGACCUCAAAGGCCUUAGGUCAUCACCAUAUUCGGAAGAGUAUGCCACAAGGAGGAACCUCUAUGUUGCAUUUAAUUCUUAAAAUACAUGAAUGUUCUGUACAUGCAAAUUAUGUGUUUGUAAGCGCAAGAAGGG